This is a non-coding RNA of Mycena latifolia, 99 nucleotides long. The record is from the annotation of a GenBank genome assembly. NCBI's taxonomy places the organism in Eukaryota, Fungi, Basidiomycota, Agaricomycetes, Agaricales, Mycenaceae.
GCGGACGUAGUGUACGGCGCACCACUGCAUCAAAUGAUCAUGAGCCGCUUGUGCGAACAGUUGAAGCAGCUGAUCGGGGUUCGACUCCCCGCGUCCGCC